CGAACAGUUGGCUCUGGCACACAUAAUGACACUUGGAAGGAAAGUCUUAUUUUAACAACGCUGUUGACUUUCCAACUUCUGCGUUACCACAGUCAUCAGAGUCCAAUUUACUCUUCAGGGGCCCUAAUCAUUCUAUACCUGAACUGGACAGAAAGAAAAUAAUUUGUUCACUUAACAGAAAGAAAGUCUAUACUCCCAAAACAAAAUGAGUCAGACAGUGAUCUUUGAAUUAACAGGCUCUGCUGACGGACUAUUUUCCCCACUUUUCAUCAGUCUGGUGACAGUGGACUCUGGACAGAGAUAAAUGAGAGGUCAAGCUACCCUUCAUUUUUCCAGAGGAUUAUUUCACCCACAGAUAAGGCACGAAGAAGGAAGUAAUAGUCAAGACCAGCCUGUGAGAAAACAACAAAAAAAGGAUAACUAACAAAAGCCCCAUUCUCCAGCUCUUGCCCCGGCCAGCGCUUCAGCACGCAUGAGAACAAACCCAUUUGAAAGGAACACUUUGGCUUCAUGGUUCUCAUAGAAUUCUAAUGAGGAAUGGGUCAUUUUCUGGCACUAGAUGGGGAAACUAAGCAAGUUUCAUAAUGUCAGAGGAGACCCUAAAAC
This 606-nucleotide long non-coding RNA is filed under the name Homo sapiens (human). Its description in RNAcentral is "HSALNT0138313". Lineage: Eukaryota; Metazoa; Chordata; Mammalia; Primates; Hominidae. The record is from RNAcentral.